GACGAACGCUGGCGGCGUGCUUAACACAUGCAAGUCGAACGGAAAGGCCCUGCUUUUGUGGGGUGCUCGAGGGGCGAACGGGUGAGUAACACGUGAGUAACCUGCCCUUGACUUUGGGAUAACUUCAGGAAACUGGGGCUAAUACCGGAUAGGAGCUCCUGCUGCAUGGUGGGGGUUGGAAAGUUUCGGCGGUUGGGGAUGUACUCGCGGCUUAUCAGGUUGUUGGUGGGGUAGUGGCUUACCAAGGCUUUGACGGGUAGCCGGCCUGGGAGGGGGACCGGCCACAUUGGGACUGGGAUACGGCCCAGACUCCUACGGGAGGCAGCAGUGGGGAAUAUUGCACUGUGGGCGGAAGCCUGGUGCAGCAACGCCGCGUGGGGGAUGACGUCCUUCGGGUUGUAAACCGCUUUCGCCUGUGACGAAGCGUGAGUGACGGUAAUGGGUAAAGAAGCACCGGCUAACUACGUG
This 468-nucleotide ribosomal RNA is filed under the name uncultured bacterium. Its description in RNAcentral is "partial 16S ribosomal RNA". It matches the Rfam family "Bacterial small subunit ribosomal RNA", at positions 28 to 507 of the family's 1533-position model. The record is from RNAcentral.